This 486-nucleotide ribosomal RNA is filed under the name uncultured bacterium. RNAcentral's name for it is "partial 16S ribosomal RNA". It matches the Rfam family "Bacterial small subunit ribosomal RNA", at positions 30 to 507 of the family's 1533-position model. The record is from RNAcentral.
AUUGAACGCUGGCGGCAUGCCUUACACAUGCAAGUCGAACGGCAGCACGGGUGCUUGCACCUGGUGGCGAGUGGCGAACGGGUGAGUAAUACAUCGGAACAUGUCCUGUAGUGGGGGAUAGCCCGGCGAAAGCCGGAUUAAUACCGCAGACGAUCUACGGAUGAAAGCGGGGGACCUUCGGGCCUCGCGCUAUGGGGUUGGCCGAUGGCUGAUUAGCUAGUUGGUGGGGUAAAGGCCUACCAAGGCGACGAUCAGUAGCUGGUCUGAGAGGACGACCAGCCACACUGGGACUGAGACACGGCCCAGACUCCUACGGGAGGCAGCAGUGGGGAAUUUUGGACAAUGGGCGAAAGCCUGAUCCAGCAAUGCCGCGUGUGUGAAGAAGGCCUUCGGGUUGUAAAGCACUUUUGUCCGGAAAGAAAUACUUGGCUCUAAUACAGUCGGGGGAUGACGGUACCGGAAGAAUAAGCACCGGCUAACUACGUG